AGCAGUAGCCGCGGGAAUACGAAGGGUGCGAGCGUUAAUCGGAAUUACUGGGCGUAAAGCGUGCGUAGGCGGUGAGUUAAGUCUGCUGUGAAAUCCCCGGGCUCAACCUGGGGAUGGCAGUGGAUACUGGCUCGCUAGAGUGUGUCAGAGGAUGGUGGAAUUCCCGGUGUAGCGGUGAAAUGCGUAGAGAUCGGGAGGAACAUCAGGGCGAAGGCGGCCAUCUGGGACAACACUGACGCUGAGGCACGAAAGCGUGGGGAGCAAACAGGAUUAGAUACCCCCGUAGUCCCUGUCUCUUAUACA
This 303-nucleotide ribosomal RNA is filed under the name uncultured bacterium. RNAcentral describes it as "partial 16S ribosomal RNA". It matches the Rfam family "Bacterial small subunit ribosomal RNA", at positions 507 to 808 of the family's 1533-position model. The record is from RNAcentral.